CAUUAAGAAGCUGAAUAGCAUUAACCUUUUAAGUUAAAAGUUGAGAGUAUUUAAUCUCUCCUUAAUGA
RNAcentral lists this transfer RNA (68 nucleotides) under Conepatus chinga (Molina's hog-nosed skunk). Its description in RNAcentral is "tRNA-Lys". It matches the Rfam family "tRNA". Rfam says of the family: Transfer RNA (tRNA) molecules are approximately 80 nucleotides in length. Their secondary structure includes four short double-helical elements and three loops (D, anti-codon, and T loops). Further hydrogen bonds mediate the characteristic L-shaped molecular structure. tRNAs have two regions of fundamental functional importance: the anti-codon, which is responsible for specific mRNA codon recognition, and the 3' end, to which the tRNAs corresponding amino acid is attached (by aminoacyl-tRNA synthetases). tRNAs cope with the degeneracy of the genetic code in two manners: having more than one tRNA (with a specific anti-codon) for a particular amino acid; and 'wobble' base-pairing, i.e. permitting non-standard base-pairing at the 3rd anti-codon position. Lineage: Eukaryota; Metazoa; Chordata; Mammalia; Carnivora; Mephitidae. The record is from RNAcentral.